RNAcentral lists this long non-coding RNA (224 nucleotides) under Lathyrus oleraceus (garden pea). RNAcentral describes it as "Pisum sativum (pea) long non-coding RNA (PSAT_LNC029726)". The record is from RNAcentral. Lineage: Eukaryota; Viridiplantae; Streptophyta; Magnoliopsida; Fabales; Fabaceae.
GACCAUGUGCUGGAGGAACUGGUCGCUGGCAAAGGAGAAAUUUAAGUAACAGUUCCACCAAUCAUCAAACUCAGUGGUCGUCAGAAAAGAUUGCUGGAACCGAAAAACUGGGAGUUCAUAGCGGUUGUUGGAUCGACAAAAACGAAGGCAGGCCCUGUGGUCAUUAGCCGUCAGUGAUCGACCAGACUAAAUGAUGUCGGUAUCAUGAGAUACUAGAGACUUUU